This 906-nucleotide small RNA is filed under the name Pongo abelii (Sumatran orangutan). RNAcentral's name for it is "processed transcript". Lineage: Eukaryota; Metazoa; Chordata; Mammalia; Primates; Hominidae. The record is from RNAcentral.
CCGUUUGUUUCCCUGUUGUCGUACGCUUCACCCUGGAUCAUGUUCAAGAAGUUUGAUGAAAAGGAAAGUGUGUCCAACUGCAUCCAGUUGAAAACGUCAGUUAUUAAGGGCAUUAAGAGCCAACUGGUAGAGCAAUUUCCAGGGCCCCUCACAAAAGCAGCCUCGGGGACACCGGCCUUUUCUUGAGACCUGCAUCUCUUCCCUUCUUCAUCACCUGCUAGUGAACUGAGGCUGCCGCUAACCUUCUUCAUCCUUUGGUGGCAAAGUAGAAAGAUUCCAGAAUUAACUCAGACCUUUCUAAAGACCUGGGCUCAGUGGCAGCUGGCACUGACUGAGCACCCGCUAUGUGCCAGGCACUGUGCUGAAUGCAUUGUAAGGACUGUCUUACUUAUUCCCCACAGCAGCCCUAAGAGGGGGUGCUGUUAUCCCCUUUUUACAGAUAAGAAAACUGAAGCUCAGAGAGGGCACUGCCUUCCCCAAGGUCACCCAGCUACAAGUAACAAAGCCUGUGCUUCUAACACCAAAGACCACUUCCCGCUGACACUGUGCCAGGCUUAGAUCAUCAAUUAUGAAUUUGACACCAAGGACCUGGUGUGCCUGGGCCUGAGCAGCAUCGUUGGCGUCUGGUACCUGCUGAGGAAGCACUGGAUUGCCAACAACCUUUUUGGCCUGGCCUUCUCCCUUAAUGGAGUAGAGCUCCUGCACCUCAACAAUGUCAGCACUGGCUGCAUCCUGCUGGGUGGACUCUUCAUCUACGAUGUCUUCUGGGUAUUUGGCACCAAUGUGAUGGUGACAGUGGCCAAGUCCUUCGAGGCACCAAUAAAAUUGGUGUUUCCCCAGGAUCUGCUGGAGAAAGGCCUCGAAGCAAACAACUUUGCCAUGCUGGGACUUGGAGAUGUCGUCAUU